GAGGUAAGGAAAGCGAAGUAGACAGGCAUAUUCACAUAACACGUAGGAGCACAUGGGGUCAAAUGAAGUGCAAGUGAGGGAUAGAGUGUACCUCCCUUGCAAUCGGGGCCCAAUGAAGUGAAAUCACUGACUUACCCUCCAAAAUAAUAAAAAGGUCAAGGUACCACUUAAAUUAUCAAAUAAAUCAGAAAAAAAUGGAAAUAAACGCCAAGUUGAAUCACUUGAGGCCUUCCAAAGAAAGUAAACUACUCGUACUUAACCAAUUAAGACAAGCAACGACCCAAUUGAGAAAUUAAAGAGGUUUAAAGAGCCAAUUUAU
This 319-nucleotide long non-coding RNA is filed under the name Coffea arabica (coffee). RNAcentral describes it as "long non-coding RNA (CARA_LNC004742)". The record is from RNAcentral. Lineage: Eukaryota; Viridiplantae; Streptophyta; Magnoliopsida; Gentianales; Rubiaceae.